UACGGGGGGAGCAAACGUUGUUCGGAAUCACUGGGCGUAAAGGGCGUGUAGGCGGCUGGAUAAGUGGGAUGUUAAAUCCCCCGGCUCAACCGGGGACCUGCAUCUCAUACUGUUCAGCUCGAGCACAUCAGAGGAGACUGGAAUUCCCGGUGUAGCGGUGAAAUGCGUAGAUAUCGGAAGGAACACCAGUGGCGAAAGCGGCUUCCUGGUCCAGCACCGACGUUCAGGCACGAAAGCGUGGGGAGCAAACAGG
This 253-nucleotide ribosomal RNA is filed under the name uncultured bacterium. RNAcentral's name for it is "partial 16S ribosomal RNA". It matches the Rfam family "Bacterial small subunit ribosomal RNA", at positions 524 to 776 of the family's 1533-position model. The record is from RNAcentral.